This 205-nucleotide ribosomal RNA is filed under the name uncultured bacterium. RNAcentral's name for it is "partial 16S ribosomal RNA". It matches the Rfam family "Bacterial small subunit ribosomal RNA", at positions 568 to 774 of the family's 1533-position model. The record is from RNAcentral.
UGCGCAGGCGGUCUUUUAAGUCAGAUGUGAAAUCCCCGGGCUUAACCUGGGAACUGCGUUUGAAACUGAAAGGCUAGAGUGUGGCAGAGGGGGUGGAAUUCCACGUGUAGCAGUGAAAUGCGUAGAGAUGUGGAGGAACACCGAUGGCGAAGGCAGCCCCCUGGGCUAACACUGACGCUCAUGCACGAAAGCGUGGGAGCAAACA